CACGACUACGAGUUUGAUCCUGGCUCAGAUUGAACGCUGGCGGCAUGCCUAACACAUGCAAGUCGAACGGGGGUCGCGAGACCCUAGUGGCGGACGGGUGAGGAAUGCGUAGGAAUCGGCCCACGAGUGGGGGACAACCUGGGGAAACUCAGGCUAAUACCGCAUGAGCUCGGAAGAGGAAAGCGGGGGACCUUCGGGCCUCGCGCUGGUGGACGAGCCUACGUCCGAUUAGCUGGUUGGUGGGGUAACGGCCCACCAAGGCGACGAUCGGUAGCGGGUCUGAGAGGACGACCCGCCACACUGGGACUGAGACACGGCCCAGACUCCUACGGGAGGCAGCAGUGGGGAAUAUUGGACAAUGGGCGCAAGCCUGAUCCAGCAAUGCCGCGUGGGUGAAGACGGCCUGCGGGUUGUAAAGCCCUUUAGGCGGGGAGGAACGACCGGAUGCCAAUACCAUCUGGAAGGGACGUUACCCGCGGAAUAAGCACCGGCUAACUCCGUG
Molecule: ribosomal RNA, 502 nt
Filed under: uncultured bacterium
Lineage: Bacteria
Description: bacterial SSU rRNA
Rfam family: Bacterial small subunit ribosomal RNA
Source: RNAcentral